GCGGGUGUCGUAUAACGGCUAUUAUAUGACCUUCCCAAGGUUGAGACGCGGGUUCGACUCCCGCCACCCGCACCA
Molecule: transfer RNA, 75 nt
Filed under: Candidatus Saccharimonadota bacterium
Lineage: Bacteria; Candidatus Saccharimonadota
Description: Candidatus Saccharibacteria bacterium tRNA-Gly
Rfam family: tRNA
About the family: Transfer RNA (tRNA) molecules are approximately 80 nucleotides in length. Their secondary structure includes four short double-helical elements and three loops (D, anti-codon, and T loops). Further hydrogen bonds mediate the characteristic L-shaped molecular structure. tRNAs have two regions of fundamental functional importance: the anti-codon, which is responsible for specific mRNA codon recognition, and the 3' end, to which the tRNAs corresponding amino acid is attached (by aminoacyl-tRNA synthetases). tRNAs cope with the degeneracy of the genetic code in two manners: having more than one tRNA (with a specific anti-codon) for a particular amino acid; and 'wobble' base-pairing, i.e. permitting non-standard base-pairing at the 3rd anti-codon position.
Source: RNAcentral